AACGAACGCUGGCGGCAUGCCUAACACAUGCAAGUCGAACGAGACCUUCGGGUCUAGUGGCGCACGGGUGCGUAACGCGUGGGAACCUGCCCUUAGGUUCGGAAUAACUCCCCGAAAGGGGUGCUAAUACCGGAUAAUGUCUUCGGACCAAAGAUUUAUCGCCUUUGGAUGGGCCCGCGUUGGAUUAGCUAGUUGGUAGGGUAAAAGCCUACCAAGGCGACGAUCCAUAGCUGGUCUGAGAGGAUGAUCAGCCACACUGGGACUGAGACACGGCCCAGACUCCUACGGGAGGCAGCAGUGGGGAAUAUUGGACAAUGGGCGAAAGCCUGAUCCAGCAAUGCCGCGUGCGUGAUGAAGGCCUUAGGGUUGUAAAGCUCUUUUACCCGGGAUGAUAAUGACAGUACCGGGAGAAUAAGCUCCGGCUAACUCCGUG
RNAcentral lists this ribosomal RNA (433 nucleotides) under uncultured bacterium. RNAcentral describes it as "partial 16S ribosomal RNA". It matches the Rfam family "Bacterial small subunit ribosomal RNA", at positions 29 to 507 of the family's 1533-position model. The record is from RNAcentral.